AGUGAACGCUGGCGGUAGGCCUAACACAUGCAAGUCGAACGGCAGCACAGUAAGAGCUUGCUCUUACGGGUGGCGAGUGGCGGACGGGUGAGGAAUACAUCGGAAUCUACUUUUUCGGGGGGGAUAACGUAGGGAAACUUACGCUAAUACCGCGUACGACCUAGGGGUGAAAGCAGGGGAUCUUCGGACCUUGCGCGAUUGAAUGAGCCGCUGUCGGAUUAGCUAGUUGGCGGGGUAAAGGCCCACCAAGGCGACGAUCCGUAGCUGGUCUGAGAGGAUGAUCAGCCACACUGGAGCUGGGACACGGUCCAGACUCCUACGGGAGGCAGCAGUGUGGAAUAUUGGACAAUGGGCGCAAGCCUGAUCCAGCCAUACCGCGUGUGUGAAGAAGGCCUUCGGGUUGUAAAGCCCUUUUGUUGGGAAAGAACAGCAGCAGGUUAAUACCCCGCUGUUCUGACGGUACCCAAAGAAUAAACACCGGCUAACUUCGUG
This 492-nucleotide ribosomal RNA is filed under the name uncultured bacterium. RNAcentral describes it as "partial 16S ribosomal RNA". It matches the Rfam family "Bacterial small subunit ribosomal RNA", at positions 29 to 507 of the family's 1533-position model. The record is from RNAcentral.